Molecule: long non-coding RNA, 277 nt
Organism: Poecilia latipinna (sailfin molly)
Lineage: Eukaryota; Metazoa; Chordata; Actinopteri; Cyprinodontiformes; Poeciliidae
Exons: 3
Source: RefSeq, a predicted model, not a curated record
AUAUUUAUUUAUCACAUACCAGAAAAAACAGUUACCUUCUGUUUAUUCAUAGUCAUGGUUGUAUUUUUCUGUCUUUGUUUUAGGUUCAAUGUCAAGAAGAGAGAGAACAAAUAUCUCGGAGGAAGCAAAGGUCUUCUUCAAGAAGCCAUAUGAAGAAGGGAUGACCAGGGUGGGAUCUCCACUGGUUGGAGCAGCAGCAGAGGCCACUGGCUUGCCACCGUUUGUGAUUGAUAACUGAAUUGGAAAUUACAGAAGACAAAACAGUUUCUUCUCAACC